GACGAACGCUGGCGGCGUGCCUAACACAUGCAAGUCGAGCGAACGGACGAGAAGCUUGCGUCCCUGAUGUUAGCGGCGGAUGGGAGAUUAACACGUGGACAACCUCCCUAUAAGAAUGGGAUAACUUCGGGAAAACGGAGCUAAUACCGGAUAAUAUUUCGAACCGCAUGGUUCAAAAGUGUACGACGGUCUUGCUGUCACUUAUAGAUUGAUCCGCGCUGCAUUAGCUAGUUGUUAAGGUAACGGCUUACCAAGGCAACGAUGCAUAGCCGACCUGAGAGGGUGAUCGGCCACACUGGAACUGAGCCACGGACCAGACUCCUGCGGGAGGCAGCAGUAGGGAAUCUUCCGCAAUGGGGGAGAGCCUGACGGAGCAACGCGGCGUGAGUGAUGAAGGUGUUCGGAUCGUGAAACUCUGUUAUUAGGGAAGAACAUAUGUGUAAGUAACUGUGCAGAUAGUGACGGUACCUGAUCAGAAAGCCACGGCUAACUACGUG
RNAcentral lists this ribosomal RNA (497 nucleotides) under uncultured bacterium. Its description in RNAcentral is "partial 16S ribosomal RNA". It matches the Rfam family "Bacterial small subunit ribosomal RNA", at positions 28 to 507 of the family's 1533-position model. The record is from RNAcentral.